Trifolium pratense (red clover) is the source of this 192-nucleotide long non-coding RNA. RefSeq lists it as uncharacterized. Lineage: Eukaryota; Viridiplantae; Streptophyta; Magnoliopsida; Fabales; Fabaceae. The transcript is spliced from 3 exons. The record is from RefSeq and is a predicted model, not a curated record.
GCCAAACACCACCAAACUUUCAUCUUAAAUCAACAUGCAAUUCCAUAAAUAGGUUCCUCUCAUCUCAAGCUCCAAGAGAAGUUAUAGAAGCAAUGAACAUGGGUACAAGAUGCAAGCUUUGGAAUUUUGAUCGGUGAUUUUUGAAGAAGUUUGGGUUAAACCCGUGUUCUAGGAUAAGGCUCCACUAAAAAG